UACGAAGGUCCCGAGCGUUAUUCGGAAUCACUGGGCGUAAAGGGAGCGUAGGCUGCGCGGUAAGUCAGAUGUGAAAUCUCAAGGCUCAACCUUGAAACUGCAUCCGAUACUGCCAGACUGGAGUAAUGGAGGGGCAGGUGGAAUUCUUGGUGUAGCAGUGAAAUGCGUGGAUAUCAAGAGGAAGACCAAUGGCGAAGGCA
This 200-nucleotide ribosomal RNA is filed under the name uncultured bacterium. RNAcentral's name for it is "partial 16S ribosomal RNA". It matches the Rfam family "Bacterial small subunit ribosomal RNA", at positions 524 to 723 of the family's 1533-position model. The record is from RNAcentral.